This 429-nucleotide ribosomal RNA is filed under the name Bacteroidota bacterium. RNAcentral's name for it is "Bacteroidetes bacterium partial 16S ribosomal RNA". It matches the Rfam family "Bacterial small subunit ribosomal RNA", at positions 355 to 776 of the family's 1533-position model. The record is from RNAcentral. Lineage: Bacteria; Pseudomonadati; Bacteroidota.
UAGGGAAUCUUCGGCAAUGGGGGGAACCCUGACCGAGCAACGCCGCGUGAGUGAAGAAGGUUUUCGGAUCGUAAAGCUCUGUUGUUAAGGAAGAACGAGUGUGAGAAUGGAAAGUUCAUGCUGUGACGGUACUUAACCAGAAAGGGACGGCUAACUACGUGCCAGCAGCCGCGGUAAUACGUAGGUCCCGAGCGUUGUCCGGAUUUAUUGGGCGUAAAGCGAGCGCAGGCGGUUAGAAAAGUCUGAAGUGAAAGGCAGUGGCUCAACCAUUGUAGGCUUUGGAAACUGUUUAACUUGAGUGCAGAAGGGGAGAGUGGAAUUCCAUGUGUAGCGGUGAAAUGCGAAGAUAUAUGGAGGAACACCGGUGGCGAAAGCGGCUCUCUGGUCUGUAACUGACGCUGAGGCUCGAAAGCGUGGGGAGCGAACAGG